UACCCUUGACAUGUCUGGAAUGCCGAAGAGAUUUGGCAGUGCUCGCAAGAGAACCGGAACACAGGUGCUGCAUGGCUGUCGUCAGCUCGUGUCGUGAGAUGUUGGGUUAAGUCCCGCAACGAGCGCAACCCUUGUCAUUAGUUGCUACGAAAGGGCACUCUAAUGAGACUGCCGGUGACAAACCGGAGGAAGGUGGGGAUGACGUCAAGUCCUCAUGGCCCUUAUGGGUAGGGCUUCACACGUCAUACAAUGGUCGGGACAGAGGGUCGCCAACCCGCAGGGGGAGCCAAUCCCAGAAACCCGAUCGUAGUCCGGAUCGCAGUCUGCAACUCGACUGCGUGAAGUCGGAAUCGCUAGUAAUCGCGGAUCAGCAUGUCGCGGUGAAUACGUUCCCGGGUCUUGUACACACCGCCCGUCACACCAUGGGAGUGGGUUCUACCAGAAGUAGUUAGCCUAACCGCAAGGAGGGCGAUUACCACGGUAGGAUUCAUGACUGGGGUGAAGUCGUAACAAGGUAGGCGUACUACA
RNAcentral lists this ribosomal RNA (528 nucleotides) under uncultured bacterium. RNAcentral's name for it is "bacterial SSU rRNA". It matches the Rfam family "Bacterial small subunit ribosomal RNA", at positions 976 to 1509 of the family's 1533-position model. The record is from RNAcentral.